AUCCAUGAGGGCUUAAUAACCUUAUUGUUAAUCAGUCUUCCUCCAUAGGAGUCUCAUAGUUCCAAGGAUGAAUGCACAGUAUAUUACCGAUUUACCGGGUACCUCAGCAUCUCUGGUUUAUCACUUAUUGCUUUGGCCACCUCCCUAUCCAGCAGCCAUGAAGCAAACCCAAAAGGUAGAUUUCUAGAAUGAAGGAGUGUGUCAUAAUCAAGGCAGACAUUUGCCUUAGUUGGAGGUAUCUGACUGCUUUAUAAAUAUUAGAGAAAUACUUCGGAUCUGGUUAGGAGAGGAGGCCGCUUAGCUGGGAGCUGUGCCCAUUUUCUUCUCAUUGCACAGCAGGAUGUCGGAGAUGAGAGGACCUGUUCCCAUAUCCUGCAGCUGCUUUGGGGAAACCAAGGCCCUAAGAAACCACAGUUCCUAGUCCAAGAAUCCAUAGAAGGAGGGAGCUAUUGACAGAGUUGGAUUUUAUGGAUUCUAAGUUGAGUCCUCUGGCCACUAGCAGUACUAAAAAUAGAUUAGAAGGGUCUCUUCUAUUUACCAUGUUUUAUUUACUUAAUCAGUUUUAAAAUAUGGAAACAUGUUUUAGUGAGUUUGAGAUCUAGAUAUUUCUCUUGGAUUGAAGCAAAAAAUAAAAUCUGAAAGAAUAGGAUUGAACUAUUUGUUCUUCUGAACACCUCACCUUUCAUGAUGUAGUAAAUUACCCUGGGUUUCUUGGCAGAACUUUUGACAGCUGUUGCUUUGAGUGAAUUCCAUUCCUGUAUUCCUUAUGGGAGUUUGUUUUUAAAAUAGACUACUGUGAUUGAAAUGAACUCAAUAUGUAGUAAGUUAUAGUUUUCU
This 837-nucleotide long non-coding RNA is filed under the name Bos taurus (domestic cattle). RNAcentral's name for it is "long non-coding RNA NONBTAT027029". Lineage: Eukaryota; Metazoa; Chordata; Mammalia; Artiodactyla; Bovidae. The record is from RNAcentral.